Molecule: ribosomal RNA, 253 nt
Filed under: uncultured bacterium
Lineage: Bacteria
Description: partial 16S ribosomal RNA
Rfam family: Bacterial small subunit ribosomal RNA
Source: RNAcentral
UACGUAGGGUGCAAGCGUUGUCCGGAAUUAUUGGGCGUAAAGAGCUCGUAGGCGGUUUGUCGCGUCUGCUGUGAAAACUCGGGGCUUAACCCCGGGCCUGCAGUGGGUACGGGCAGACUAGAGUGCGGUAGGGGAGACUGGAAUUCCUGGUGUAGCGGUGAAAUGCGCAGAUAUCAGGAGGAACACCGAUGGCGAAGGCAGGUCUCUGGGCUGAAACUGACGCUCAUGCACGAAAGCGUGGGGAGCAAACAGG